UACGUAGGGAGCGAGCGUUGUCCGGAUUUACUGGGUGUAAAGGGUGCGUAGGCGGCUCUGUAAGUCAGAAGUGAAAUCCAUGGGCUCAACCCAUGAACUGCUUUUGAAACUAUGGAGCUUGAGUGAAGUAGAGGUAGGCGGAAUUCCCGGUGUAGCGGUGAAAUGCGUAGAGAUCGGGAGGAACACCAGUGGCGAAGGCGGCCUACUGGGCUUUAACUGACGCUGAGGCACGAAAGCGUGGGUAGCAAACAGG
RNAcentral lists this ribosomal RNA (253 nucleotides) under uncultured bacterium. RNAcentral describes it as "partial 16S ribosomal RNA". It matches the Rfam family "Bacterial small subunit ribosomal RNA", at positions 524 to 776 of the family's 1533-position model. The record is from RNAcentral.